CCGCAUAAGCGCACGGCAUCGCAUGAUGCAGUGUGAAAAACUCCGGUGGUAUAAGAUGGACCCGCGUUGGAUUAGCUAGUUGGUGAGGUAACGGCCCACCAAGGCGACGAUCCAUAGCCGACCUGAGAGGGUGACCGGCCACAUUGGGACUGAGACACGGCCCAAACUCCUACGGGAGGCAGCAGUGGGGAAUAUUGCACAAUGGGCGAAAGCCUGAUGCAGCGACGCCGCGUGAGCGAAGAAGUAUUUCGGUAUGUAAAGCUCUAUCAGCAGGGAAGAUAAUGACGGUACCUGACUAAGAAGCACCGGCUAAAUACGUGCCAGCAGCCGCGGUAAUACGUAUGGUGCAAGCGUUAUCCGGAUUUACUGGGUGUAAAGGGAGCGCAGGCGGUGCGGCAAGUCUGAUGUGAAAGCCCGGGGCUCAACCCCGGUACUGCAUUGGAAACUGUCGUACUAGAGUGUCGGAGGGGUAAGCGGAAUUCCUAGUGUAGCGGUGAAAUGCGUAGAUAUUAGGAGGAACACCAGUGGCGAAGGCGGCUUACUGGACGAUAACUGACGCUGAGGCUCGAAAGCGUGGGGAGCAAACAGGAUUAGAUACCCUGGUAGUCCACGCCGU
Molecule: ribosomal RNA, 616 nt
Filed under: uncultured bacterium
Lineage: Bacteria
Description: bacterial SSU rRNA
Rfam family: Bacterial small subunit ribosomal RNA
Source: RNAcentral